This 10767-nucleotide long non-coding RNA is filed under the name Marmota monax (woodchuck). The stretch from base 5125 to 5181 matches the Rfam family "tRNA", at positions 8 to 63 of the family's 71-position model. The record is from RNAcentral. Lineage: Eukaryota; Metazoa; Chordata; Mammalia; Rodentia; Sciuridae.
UGGCCCAGAGUUGGAAAGAAGCAUGCACAACCAUCCCUUGGGAGCCUGCAAAAGCUUCUCUUCCUCCCACCCUCCACCAGAUUGCAGCUCAAACGCCCCUUCAUUGAAGAGUUGCCCCAACUCCCCAACCAGGUCAAGUGUCCCUUUUUUUUUUCCUCACAGCAAUCUGUAUGUUUGUCUCAAAAUCCUUCUCAAAAUUCAUAGUCAUCAGUCACUUUAUCACAACCAUUAGAUUGCGAGUGCCGUGGAGACAGAACCAUACCCAUUUUCCUCUCCAGUACAUCCCCAGAUCCCCAGCAUUAACUGACCGAUCAAGCAAACGAGCGAUUGAGGAGGAAAGGUAGGUGGAUGGGUAAGUGGGUGGGUGGAUGGAUAGAUGGUUGUUUAGAAUUUUGUCUCUCUUCCAAACUCUGAGAGGCCACUUCUCUAAAUUUUUAACUAGUGCUCAGUUCUUCCCUGAACUCUCUGGAACAAAACUGCUCAAAUUCUAUUUAGAAGUUAACCAUUUUCUGAUGGCUGAAGAUCACAGCACAGGGGCAGAUUUCCUGGAUCGGUCAUGUGAAUUCCAAGGAGUACAUCACUCUUCAGGGUUCAGUUCCAUCAGUGAAUUGGAUAUUCUGAUGCUAACUAGUGCUUCAGUUGAGUGAGCGUGGACUCACUGUGCCUCAAAACUUGGCCUCUAUAAGCAAGAUAAAUCCCCAAGGUCUGCUUUGGAACUUGGGUCCACAUACCAACUUUGUUUUCUUCUGCAUGUUUCAUAACACUACUGAUAUAUAAUAACUUCUGUCCAAGUUACAAACUAAGAUCAAAAUUCUCAAGGGCUUGACUCUUCCCGGGAAAUUAUUUAUAACUAGAAAUAUUUUCUCAUAGUCCGAAUUAGCACCUCUGCUAUGUAGAGAUUUACUUUUUUUUAUGAUAAUGGAUUUUAAUUUAUGAAAACGAUUCAAAGGUAUGAGAUAUUAUUACUAUUCACUAGGGACCUGUCAUGGUUUAGAUGCAGUAUCCCCCAAAAGCUCACAUGUGAGACAAUCAAUGCAAGAAGGUUUGGACGAGAAAUGAUUGGGUCAUACCCUUAACCUAAUCAGAGAAUUGAUCCCUGAUGGGAUUAGAUGGGUGGUAACUGGAGGCAGGUGGGGUGUGGCGGGAGAAAAUGGUUAAUUGGGGGCAGGGCCAUGGGUAUAUAUUUGUAUCUGGUUCGAGGAGUCUCACUCUGCUUCCUGAUCACCCGUGAGAGCAGUUUCCCUCUGCCACACUCUUCCACCACGAUAUUCUGCUUCAUCUCAGGCCCCAAGGAAUGGACCCGGCCUUCUGUGGACUAAGGCCUCUGAAAUUGUGAGCCCUAAAUAAACCUUUCCUCCUUUACACUCGUUCUGGGUGGGUCCUUUAGUCACAGCAGCAAGAAAAGCUGCCUAAACCAGCACCUAAGAGGUCUCCUUAUUCCUGUCUCCUAUGCAAUGGGCUUUAACUUAUACAAAUACAGGAGAAAAGAUGUCAAAAUUUAAAUAGGUGAGGGCUGCAGCUCAAUGAUAGUGCACGUGCCUAAUGUGUGACGCCCUGGGUUCAAGACCUAGCACCGGAAAAAUAAAAACUACAAAUAACUAACAUAAGAGGUCAAUUAGGUAUGCCUGCAAGUCACCUAGGUAAAAAGUUAAGGGUGACUCAUCACAUUAAUGAGACUUCUUAAAUUUUCCAUCUGGCACUUCAGAAUUCUUUCUGGCAAAUUUUUGGAUUUUAAACCAUUUAGCACAGUUAUAAGCAAAGUUUGACCUCAGGCCAUGGACUGCCCACCUACGCUUGCAAUGCAGCUUAGGAUCCAAUUUCAGGAAUCCUUUAAUCUUAAUAACAGAGAAAUGAGUUCCUCUCAGAGAACGUCAGCCCUAGCUGACUCCUACUGAUGAAGUGCUUCUGACAAGGAAGAACCAAUCAAGUGCAGCAGGGUGAGCUGAUGUGUGUGCAGCUCACGGGGGAGGGGUGCGUGGAAAUCCACUCUGGGCCUGGUCUUGGGCAUUUAUAAGGGAUCAUUUCAAGCAGAAGCUAACAGUUACAGAGCAGCAACUGCAUCUUUCCACUUCCCUGUUUAAUAGUGAAAACACAGGGCCAGGGAUAUAGCUCAGUAGCAGUAUGCUUGCCUAGCAUGAGAGGCCCUGGUUUUGAUCCAGAGCACCACGAAAAAGAAAGAAAGAAAGGAAGGAAGGAAGGAAGGAAGGAAAGAAAAUGAAAAUAAACUAGCUAUAAAAGUCUCUUGCUCAGUAAGAAAAUGUGUUCAAAGCUCAGCAUUAUAAUUAUAUACUUCUGUUAUGCAAUUUCUGAAAAUUUAUCUCCUAGAAAGGAAACCCUUCAAGUGAAAGAAUAAUCAUUUUUUUAAAAAAGGCUAAACUUCAGAUACUGUACUUUCUAGUCUAAUAAUAAUACAUAUAGUAGGUGAAGAAAAAAUUAAGUUCACAGGCAUUGCUUCUACUUGGAUUACCCUUACGAUAUAUGUUCUAACACAUCCACCUUCCAAACUGUGCCACGUGUUGGUAUUAGUUAGCUGUUCAUUACUGUGACACAAAUACACAACGAGAACAACUGAGAGGAGGAAAGAUUUGUUUUGGUUCACAGUUUCAGAGGAUUGAGUCCAUGUUGGCUGGCUUCUUUGGCUCUGGGCCUGAUGUGAGGGAGAUCAUCAUGGUGGAGGGCAUGGCAGAGGAGAUGUACUCAGCUCCUGGCAGACAUAAAGGAGGAAGGGAGGGAGGGAAAACAAAUGCCUCUAGAGCACACCCCCCAGUGACCUCCUUCCUCCAACUGGGUCCCACAAGCUAUCAAUAAUCUAUCCAGCCAUCCAUGGAUUAAUCCACCUAUGAGGUCAGAGCCCUCGUAAUCUAAUCAUCACCUAGAAGCCUCAUCUCUGAACUUUGUGGAAAUGGGACCAUGCUUUCAACACCUGAGCUUCGGGAGAUAUUUCAGAUAUAAACCAUUCAAACUGACUCAAGUCCCCAUGAGAAUAGUAAUCAUGGCACCUGCCAUUCACUGUGUGGGAGAGAUUCAGAAACAUACCCACAUUUAUACUUGCAUAGAGUUCAUUUGAGCUUAUUUUACUUAUACCAUGCAAUAUGGUCUCCCCAACCACUCAAGCAUUUUCCAAGCACAUGAAAGGUGAAUAACAGUUCAAAAAGAUAGAUGUAAUGCUCCACGGGCAGUAGCAAAAAAUAAUUACAGACAAAAACAGAAGAGGAGGAACCAAGAGGGAAGACAGGGAGAGGCAGAUAAUCCAGCUAGAAAUGCAGAGGCCUCCAGGUCAUAAGAAAGAAUUAAAUGACUCUCAAUAACCCUGGAGAACAACACCAAUAAAAAUACUGUGCGAGUUAACAUCAAAAGAACUAUGAUCUAUGUCCUAUGGGAGACAAAGUAGUAUUACAUCCAUGAAACAAGAACAGAAUGCUAUUACAAAAGGAAAAAUAGAACAAGAAUUAGCUUGCAGAAAAUGAAAAACAGGAAUGAAAUAAAGUUCAGGAAUUCUCACAAAAAGAUAAAAUGGUGAACAAGAGAAAAAUUAAGAAAAUUAGCAUACACAUCUAGGAAUUGAUCAUCUAAUAAGAGAACUUUCAAAGGAAAAAUCAACAAGCAAGAUAAAAUUAUCAAAGAAAUAAUAUCUUUUUCUCCAAAAACCUGAAAACCCAGACUAAAAAUGGCUCACUGAGCACUCAACACAAUGAAUCAAAAAGCCUCAAAGAUGAGCAUGAUGGAGUUCUUUUUAGAAUAUUAAGUUUAGGUGGCCUGUUGCAAAUACCAGUCAAAAUCGCAUGUAUAUAAAUAUGAGCCCAGAGCUAAUAUUAUGGGAAGAAGUGAAGGUUAGAAAUAUAAAUUUGGAGUCAUUUAUAUCGAAAAAUAUCUGAAGUCAAAAUACUGAAUAAAAUAAAGUAUGGAGGCAGAAACAGGGAAAGGAAUAGAAAAACAGAGGUCAAAAAGUGGAGAGAUUGGGGCUCCAAGAAGAGACAGGAAGGAGGAGAAACAGGUUGGGGAGGAGAUGGGAGAUGACCAGGUAACUAAGAUGUCCCAAGAGACCAGAAAGACAGACCCUGGGGAAGGUAGUGAGGCCACUGUGUCACAGGCCACCAGGAUGAAGACAAAGCGUCACAGUGGCCCCCGUUACCCACAGCUUUACUUUCUAGGCUUCAAUAAUCCACAGGCAAAUACAACCUGAAAAUAUUAGAUGAAAAACUCCAGAAAUAAAUAAUUCAUAAAUUUUAAAGAAAUUUUAUUAAAAUAUUGUUAUAUUUGUCCUAUUUGGGUUUGUAUUAUUGUUAAUUUCUUCUUGUGCCUAAUUGAUAAAUUAUUUAUCACAGGUGUGCACAUAUAGGAAAAACAAGUAUAUAGUUGGCCCUCUGUGUCCACAUGUUCACAUCCAUGGCUCCAAGUAACUGUGGAUCAAAAAUACCUAGAAAAAUAUUGCCUCUCUCCUGAUGUGUCCAGGUGUUUUUCCUUAUCAUCCUUCUUUACACAAUACAAGAACUAUUUCCACAGCAUUUGCCCUGCAUUGACUAAGAUGGUUGAAAGCACACAGGAGGUUGCAUGGGUUAUAUGCAGAACUAUUCCAUUUUACUCUGAGAGACUUGAGCAUCCACAGAUUUCAAUACCUGUAAGGGACUGGUGGGGGCAUUUUGGAAACAGUCCCAAGGAUACGGAGGGACAACUGCAUACAAAGUUAGGUAUUAUCAUGGUUUGAAGCACCCAGGGAACAACUUAGACCAAAUGCCCCCAGGAUAGGGGGCAAGGGGUGCGGCACAGGAGAGAACUUGUGGUUGGACCCCGUGAGAUGGAAAGAACUGCCUUGGUAAGAACACACACCUUCCAGAAGCAUCAGUUUAACUCAAAGAUUAGAGUCGGAGUGGGGUGGGGUGGAGAUGCAAGAUAUUCAUCAUGGCAGUACUGUUUUGGCACUUAAAAAAAAAGAUGGAUAUUUUACGGAGCAGAAUACAGUAUUUAUAUUGAUUUUUUAUCAGGAGACUUCAAAGAAAUUGAGCCUGUCUUGGGCUCUAUUUCCAUAUGCUCCUCCACUCCCAACCCACACGGAAAUGCUUCACUCAGUGCCCAGAGCUGCCCAGACUUUGAUGAUAAUUCGUUAACAGUUCUAGAGCCAGGGUAUAGCUCAAUGGUAAAGUGCGUGCUUUGCAAGCAUGAGGCCCUGGGUUCCAUCCCCAGCAAAGCACACACACACACACACACACACACACACUUAACUGUUCUGUAGGAAAGCACCAGGAGCCCGACUCAAAACAUAUGAACAUUAGCAAACAGCUCCCCCUGCUGACCCAGUGUCUAAAGAAGCUUUGGAAAAUGGAUUGACGGACAAGCCAGGACACCUCUGUUGAAGCCUCCUGGAACACUCCCUGGUUCAGCUCACAAGGUUCAUCCUGCAUUCCUUGGGUUCAAUCCCCAGUAACGGGGAGAAAAAAAGUUCAUCCCAGUAACCUCCUGUCUCUGUACUAAGGCCCUGCUAAGGGUCUGAGAAAAUGAUCCACUCUAUCUUCCUGAGGAGUCCGCUACAACGUGAGGGAGAUAAGUACCUGCCAACUCAAAAGAGGCAGAAUCAGUAAAUGAACUCACGACGGAAUCACUUAAGGCACGAUGACUUCAGAGAGGGCCAUGUAGUCUGGCUUUUCCUACAGAAAACAAACCAUAAAGCUUCUUUUGGGCUGGGUGCAGUAGAGCACACCUGUAAUCCCAGCAGCUCGGGAUCGCAAGUUCAAAGCCAGCCUCAGCAACUUAGCAAAGCCCUAUUCAACUUAGUGAGACCCUGUCUCAAAAUAAAAUAAAAUAAAAAGGGCUGGGGAUGUGCUCCAUGGUUAAACAUCCCUGGGUUCAAUCCCUGGUACAAAAAAAAAAAAAAAAAGACUCUUUUGGGAGUCUUGUCCUUCACAUACCAAGACUGGAAAACAGCCCUGACCACCUGCUAACUAGAGACUGAGCAUUGCCAUGAGCCUGGAUAAACGACCCACUGGAAUAACCCUCAUCUCCACUGGCUUCCGCGCCCCACCCACACCUCUCCAGUAACAUCCCGGAACUUCCUACCCUAGUUCAGAGGUCCCUCUGUCCAACCAUUUCUUCACAGAUUUAUUCUUCAUCUAAAAAGUAUAAAAUCUGUGGCUCAGUGGUGGAGCCCUUACCUAGCAUGUGAGAGGCACUGGGUUAGAUUCUCAGCACCACUUAUAAGUUCUAUGAACAACUAAAAAGGUGUAUUAAAAAAAUUUUAAAAUACAGAAUCAUGGUUUGGUAAUUUCUUCAGCCUUGACUCUCUUGUAAAGAUUCCUAUGUUUAUGUAAAUUAAUAAAACUUCUGUGCUUCUUUCUUGUUAAUCAGCUCUUAUAUUAAUUUGGUUCCUGAAGUCACCCAGAGAUCCCAUAUAAGAAACAAGGGGGCCCAGGCAUGGGCAGCACCUGUAAUCCCAGUGAGUUGGAGACCGAGGCAGGAGCAUACCAUGUUCCAGGCCAGCCUUGGAAACUUAGGGAGACCGUGUUUCAAAACAAAAAAUAAAAAGGGCCGGGGAUGUAGCUCAGUGGUAAAAGUGCUUCUAGCAUGUAUGAGGCCCUGAGUUCCAUCCCCAAGUACCACACAAAAAGAAAGGAUGGGAAAACGGAGAGUAGAGGAGAAAGGGGAGUGAAGGGAACCUCUCCAUCCCCUACAAAUUCUGCAUGUCAUUAAAUGGGUGUGCUUCCGUUUCUCAACAGAGGAUGCGGCAGUGCCAGACAAAGAGCAGUGGUUAUUUCAGAUACUACCUCAAAGGACCAAGGACACUUGACUGGGCAGGAAAAUGACAGUAGGGCUUCUCCCCAACCUGACCCACACUCCUGCUUUUUAUGUUUUACAUGUUGAUACACCUACUUAUAUUUUAUAGGAGAAAAUAAUACUCUGCUGAAGGUCUGUAAGCUGCUCAGUUCUACCAACCCUAAUAGAAAGGGAUUCUACACACAAGUCUGAACUCAGUCAUCUUGUCUUCCCCCAUCCCAGGUACUGCAUCCAGGAGAUGCCCAGCAGAUGGCUGGAUAUUCAAGUCUGCAGCUCUUGAGAGACAGGGGUUCUCAUGAAGAGAGCACCAGGUGGUGUGGAACACGGUGUUGCUACAAUCAGCUCACAACAGCAGUGUGUCCUAUGAUGUUGUUCUGUGCAUUAACUGAAGGCAAAAGUCUCUAAAAGCAAUUCCAGGAAGGACCAAAAUAGCCCAGGGCAAGCAAGAUGCCGCUGAUGUUCUGAAAGGACUGUACAUCCUUUAGAAAUCUCCCCUGAACAUUAUUCUUCUCGAGUGAGCUUUUGGUAAGAGUUCAGCUCCCCACAGGUAUGUGGUCAAUCAAGGGAACAUCUCUCUGCACUCUGACACUCAGUCCUGCCCUCAUGGACAGAAACAUUUGGACGAUUAUGAGAACCCAAACUUCUGUCCCAUAUAGCUGGCUUGCAGUAACUUUAGCCUAGAAGAUUCUCUGAACUUACGUUAUAGUUGCUCCAACUGGUGAAAAGAAAAUGGAAAAAAAAAAACCCAAAAAUAUACAAAUGAGGUGUUUUAAUUUUGAAUGUAGCAGUGUACUUUGCGGGGGAACCCUUUUAUAUCUUCGAAUUGUAGCAUGUAGUAAUCCUAGGUGAUCAAAUGAAUCAACCUGCUCUUUACUUUGUAUAAACCAACACAAUGUCCGAAGAUACCUACUGAAAAUGGACCUGUGAAGCAGGCAUAUCCCUUCUCUCACAGAGUUUGUACUCAAGUGGAAAGAGGGAAAUUACACAAAUCUAAACAUGUAAACUAAAUAUGUAGGUACAGAUGUGCGGAAUGCCUUGAAGGAGGGAGACAGGGACAGAGUGGCCUAAUUUAAGCCAGGAGGAGUGUGGCAAGGAAGAGCUCAAUGAGGAGGUGAAGUUCAACCCAAGACACUAAGGGCUGCUAACAGCCACUGGAUAGAGAGUGGAGGACAGGAUACUCCAGGCAGGAGGGAAGCAGGUCCUGAAGUGAAGGGAGACAUCACGCUGCUGGGGGGGCAAGGACACCGGCAGGAGAGGAGUCCAGAGAGAGAGGCCAGAGAAGCAAAACACAGCAAGGUCGUACGACCGUCUCAGACGUCAUCCAGAGCAGGCUUUGCACUCAGACAGGUAACAUGGUCUGACUCCUGUUUCUAAAGCACUCCAGGGGACUUCUGAACACCCCAUUGCAGAACAAAUGACCUGCCUUACUAUUCACCCACUUCAAGCACAAUACAGUUUGAUGCAUUUCAGUAAACUUACACAGUUAUCAGCCACCACCACAGUCACCCAAAAAAGUCCCCUUGGGGCCAUUUCCACUCCUGCUCCCAUGCCUGGCCCAAGGCAACCGUAAUUGAUGUCUAUCUCUAUAUACUAUGGUUCUCGUGCUAGAGGCUUGGCCCCCAGUACAGGGGUGUUGAGGGGGCAUCUCGUGGAAGGCUGUUGGGUCAUGGAGGCACUGCCCUCGCAGAUGGAUUAAUGCUGUCUCUCAGGAGUAGACCAGGUCUGGUAGGAGUGGCUUAGUUCCCAAGAGAAGGAUGCUGUAGAAUGAGGUGGCCUUCCUGGUCUCUUGGUUCCUAUAAGCAUAGGAUCUCUCCUCUUCACCGUCCUGCCACUGGGGUGCAAUCUGCCCUGAGGCCCUCAUCAGAGCCAAGCAGAGGUCAGUGUCAUGCUCUUAAACCUCUAUAACAGCGAGCUAAAAAAACAAAACAAACCUCAUUCUUCAUAAAGUAGCUAGCCUCAUGCAUUUUGAUAUAGCAAUAGAAAACUAAUGAAAGCAUUACAGGGGCUGGGGAUGUGGCUCAAGCGGUAGCGCGCUCGCCUGGCACGCGUGCGGCCCGGGUUCGAUCCUCAGCACCACAUACAAACAAAGAUGUUGUGUCCGCCGAGAACUAAAAAAUAAAUAUUAAAAUUCUCUCUCUCUUUAAAAAAAAAAGUAUUAAAAAAAAAGAAAGAAAGCAUUACAGUUUUGCCCUUUAGAAAGGGAGAUUUCUUAUAGGUGGAGUCAUACACUGCGUAGACUUCUGUGUAUGGCUUGUCUGAUAUUCCACAAUGUUCUUGAGGAUCAUCAGUGUUAUUGUAUGUACCAGUAGUUUAUUUUAUUUUUAUUACUGAGUAGCAGCAUCCCACGCUAUGUACAUAAUACAUGCUGUUUAUCCUUUCCAAAUGAUGGACAUCUGGACUGUUUCCAGAGGCGGGCUAUAUGGAUAAGGCUAUUAUGAACAUUGUUAUGGUUGCUACAAACAUUGUUAAUAAUUUGGAUCUAGAAAUGUCCCCCCAAAAUCUCAUGUUUUGAAAGCAGAUUCCCCAGAACAGAGAGGUUCAGAGAUGGGGCUGUUAAGCAGUGACAAAAGCUGUGACCUUAUCGGGAGAUUGAUCCAUUUGAUGGGUUAAUAAUUUGAAUGGACUACUGGGGUGGUAACCACAGAAGGUGGGGCCUGGCGGGAGGAAGGCAGUCACUGGGAGCAGGCCCUUGAAGACCACACCUUGUCCAUGGCCUGCAUCUCUUCCCUGCCUCUCCUUGCCCACUUCCUCUUCUCCCUCCAUGGAACUGGCAGGAGCUGAGCAGCUCUCCUCUGCCACACCCUCUGCCCUGAUGUUCUCUCUCACCUCAGCCCAGAGCCACGGAGUCGGCCAACCAUUCGGGAAAACAGUACGGAGAUUCCUUCAAAGACUAAAAAUGUAACUGGCAUAUGUUCAGAAAUCCCACUGCUAGGUUCAUUGUGGCACUAUGCACAUUAGCUAAGAAAUGGAAAUAACCUAAAUGUGCAUCAGCUGAUGAAUGGAUAAAGAAAAUGGUGAACAUGUGCCGGGUUUCUGUUCUCACGACUAAAAGGCUCAGGGGUCACUCUAGUUGAACUGGGCUGACUGGGCUGCACGAAAUAACCACACAAGAGACACAAAUACCUUUUUCUUUGGGGUUGCUGUGACGGCUCCUCUGACCUUAAGGGUCCGCAGGAAGAGAGAGAGUGAGAGCACACGCGCUGACCACUUUUAUUGAGGAGAAGGUAUUCAAAUGAGGCAAGGGGUCAGGUUUCAGGGGGCUGAGUCUAUCUUCAUGAUGUCCACUGUCAGCAGGUUGACUGACACCUGGGUAGGCCACACCCAAGGGCACAGUAAGAGGAGGGGACACACACAAGGCACUUCCAUGGAAGAUUCUAUCCUAAACAGGGCAAGGGGUUAAUUACAAAGGAACAGGUGAGCGUAGCUCCACCCACGGGGCUGUAGGAAGACACACCCAUUUCUGUGACUGAGCACCUCAGCACCCAGCUGGGGAGUGUAACUCAGUCACUCAUAAGCUUGGCCUCCCACAAACAUGUACAAAAUGGAAUACCAUUUUGGCCAUAAAGAAGAAUAAAGUGCUAUCCUUUGUGGCAAUGUGGAUGGAACUUGAGGUCACUAUGCUAAGUGCAAUGAGCCAGACACAGAAAGACUAGUGCUCUAUGUUCUCACUCACUUGGGGAAACCAGAAUGUCGACAUCAUAGAAGAACAUGAUGGAGACUUGGUCCCCAGUGUGGGGUGUCAGAGUGGUGGCACCAGAAACUAGCACAGGUGGGAGAGGGGAGGGAAUGCAAACACAUAAGGGACACCCAAACAGAAUCAGCUGGGAAGAAUCAAUUCUGGUUUUCCAAGGCACAGUGGGGCAGCUACCAUUCACAGCAAUCUAUGAUGGAUUUCAAAAUAACCAGAGGAGUACAAAGGUUCUCAACACAUGGAAAUUCUUAAUAUUUGAGGACAUGGAAGUAUUUAAUGCCCUGAUCUGACCACUACACAUUAUAUAUGCA